Molecule: long non-coding RNA, 483 nt
Organism: Passer domesticus (house sparrow)
Lineage: Eukaryota; Metazoa; Chordata; Aves; Passeriformes; Passeridae
Exons: 3
Source: RefSeq, a predicted model, not a curated record
UUCAUUUUAAGGACUCUUUCCAUUCAUUUCAACAGCCUCUGGGCAGGCUUUUCAGUGUUCCUCUAUUCCUAUCAUUAUUCUCCAUCUAUAUACCAGUGCAGGACACCUUCCCCUUGCCCACCAGCUGCAGGCAGAAAAACCAACACCAGAGUCGUGAAGAGUGAUCUGAGCUUACAAAACAAACAGGAGUCUGAGUGUGCUGAGGGAUCUACACUCAAACAAUUGGGACCCUCAGGUGAUUGCAAAAUUUGGAGGCUCAUUAUGUCCUCUCUCAGUCCAGGAGCUUCCACCCACGCUUGUGUGUUGAAGGCAAUAAGGGUGGGGAUGACAAGGAACAGGGGAAGCAAAAAUAAUCCCCCUGAACAAUGUUUUUUUGGGGAAUGAAAACUUGACAUUCUGCGGCGGGUACCAUCCUCCAGCAAAACUACAGCAACGAGGUUGUCAAGAUAAGAGAACCCCAAGCCAGCGAGCAACUAAAUAAAU